UUGUCUAUAAGGGCAUAUCUGCACUGGAAACUUCAAAUUGCUACCAUGGGAACGCUCUUGUAGCAGCGCUUUGAAGUGCGAGUGUGGUCACGUGCGAG
Molecule: non-coding RNA, 98 nt
Organism: Chelonoidis abingdonii (Abingdon island giant tortoise)
Lineage: Eukaryota; Metazoa; Chordata; Testudines; Testudinidae
Source: RefSeq, a predicted model, not a curated record